Molecule: ribosomal RNA, 439 nt
Filed under: uncultured bacterium
Lineage: Bacteria
Description: bacterial SSU rRNA
Rfam family: Bacterial small subunit ribosomal RNA
Source: RNAcentral
GCUUAACGCGAAGAACCUUACCAGGUCUUGACAUCCUCUGACAACUUUAGAGAUAGAGCGUUCCCCUUCGGGGGACAGAGUGACAGGUGGUGCAUGGUUGUCGUCAGCCCGUGUCGUGAGAUGUUGGGUUAAGUCCCGCAACGAGCGCAACCCUUGAUCUUAGUUGCCAGCAUUUAGUUGGGCACUCUAAGGUGACUGCCGGUGACAAACCGGAGGAAGGUGGGGAUGACGUCAAAUCAUCAUGCCCCUUAUGACCUGGGCUACACACGUGCUACAAUGGAUGGUACAAAGGGCUGCAAGACCGCGAGGUCAAGCCAAUCCCAUAAAACCAUUCUCAGUUCGGAUUGUAGGCUGCAACUCGCCUACAUGAAGCUGGAAUCGCUAGUAAUCGCGGAUCAGCAUGCCGCGGUGAAUACGUUCCCGGGUCUUGUACACACCG